This 253-nucleotide ribosomal RNA is filed under the name uncultured bacterium. Its description in RNAcentral is "partial 16S ribosomal RNA". It matches the Rfam family "Bacterial small subunit ribosomal RNA", at positions 524 to 776 of the family's 1533-position model. The record is from RNAcentral.
UACAGAGGGUGCAAGCGUUGUUCGGAAUUAUUGGGCGUAAAGGGCGCGUAGGCGGUGCGGUAAGUCUGCGGUGAAAUCUCCCGGCUCAACUGGGAGUCUGCCGUGGAAACUGCCGUGCUUGAGUGUGGGAGAGGUGAGUGGAAUUCCCGGUGUAGCGGUGAAAUGCGUAGAUAUCGGGCGGAACACCUGUGGCGAAAGCGGCUCACUGGACCACAACUGACGCUGAGGCGCGAAAGCUAGGGGAGCAAACAGG